GAGAGAAUAAGAGGCUAAUUCUGUCCUCUUUAGGCUACAUUAUAAAAGGGACUGCAGUACAAACGCAUAGCUAAAUAAAUAUGUUGUAAAAACUGUGCAGCAUUGUAGGGACUUUUCCUGCCUUGAAACAAAGGAAGAGAGAAUAAGAGGCUAAUUUUGUCCUCUUUAGGCUCCAUGAUACAAGGGAAUGCAGUACAAACGCAAGUCUCAACAGUAUAGAGUCAAAACCAUCCAGCACUCAGUGGCCCCAUCGCGCUGGUCAGUAGAGGACCCGAGGCCAUCAGACGCAGCGGAACCUUUCUGGGUCGUAAGGUGAUAGUCCGGGGGACGUAAAUAGCCAGACGACGCGAGGAGGAAAGUGCGGGAGACUGGAAUGAAGCGACUGGAGAGUUAUGAAGGAUGAUGCCGCCGAAGUCCCGAGCGGCUUCGAGACAAGGAAGAGAAGCUCCGCGACUCACUUGAGCCAGUCAGUCAGUGGUCAGUGGCGUCAGCUUUGUUGUGGUGUACGCGUGAGUCUUGUGUUUUCUUGAACGCUUUUUUGGGCUUUAGGUGAACCAAAACUCUCCCAAAGCCUGUCCACAGUGGUCACCAGCUGUGACGCAAGGAGCAGCUUUCUCAGCGACAGGGAGCGGUGGACGGCGGAUGAAUACUUUGGCUCCCGCGCCUUCUUCUGCAUCAUGUCCGCCCGCUGACCCUGGUGGUGGGCGACGUGCGUCAGAGGAAUUGAAAAUGUAGAGGACUCGCUGCUGUGCCCUGCGUGUAGCUGUGAGGUGAAGUGCAGACGGCUGCAUUGUCUCAGCCUCGGAGGUGCCACUUGUUCAAAUUACGAAUGGUUUAAUGUUAUUUUUUGCAGGCUGUGGAAUAUUGCAGUAUCUUAUAACAAGACAAAUGAUAUAAAAAAGCAUGUA
Scylla paramamosain (green mud crab) is the source of this 908-nucleotide long non-coding RNA. RefSeq lists it as uncharacterized. The transcript is spliced from 4 exons. NCBI's taxonomy places the organism in Eukaryota, Metazoa, Arthropoda, Malacostraca, Decapoda, Portunidae. The record is from RefSeq and is a predicted model, not a curated record.